RNAcentral lists this ribosomal RNA (253 nucleotides) under uncultured bacterium. Its description in RNAcentral is "partial 16S ribosomal RNA". It matches the Rfam family "Bacterial small subunit ribosomal RNA", at positions 524 to 776 of the family's 1533-position model. The record is from RNAcentral.
UACGUAGGUGGCAAGCGUUGUCCGGAUUUACUGGGUGUAAAGGGCGUGCAGCCGGGCUGACAAGUCAGAUGUGAAAUCCCGCGGCUCAACCGCGGAACUGCAUUUGAAACUGUCAGUCUUGAGUACCGGAGAGGUCAUCGGAAUUCCUAGUGUAGCGGUGAAGUGCGUAGAUAUUAGGAGGAACACCAGUGGCGAAGGCGGUCUGCUGGACAGCAACUGACGCUGAGGCGCGAAAGCGUGGGGAGCAAACAGG